AGCCCAGAGCCUGAAUCAGUGUGUGUGUUAGUGGAAGCGUCUGGAAAGGCGCGCGAUACAGGGUGACAGCCCCGUACACAAAAAUACACAUACUGUGAGCUCGAUGAGUAGGGCGGGACACGUGGUAUCCUGUCUGAAUAUGGGGGGACCAUCCUCCAAGGCUAAAUACUCCUGACUGACCGAUAGUGAACCAGUACCGUGAGGGAAAGGCGAAAAGAA
This 219-nucleotide ribosomal RNA is filed under the name Escherichia coli. RNAcentral's name for it is "partial 23S ribosomal RNA". It matches the Rfam family "Bacterial large subunit ribosomal RNA", at positions 296 to 523 of the family's 2925-position model. Lineage: Bacteria; Pseudomonadati; Pseudomonadota; Gammaproteobacteria; Enterobacterales; Enterobacteriaceae. The record is from RNAcentral.